RNAcentral lists this ribosomal RNA (1491 nucleotides) under uncultured bacterium. Its description in RNAcentral is "bacterial SSU rRNA". It matches the Rfam family "Bacterial small subunit ribosomal RNA". The record is from RNAcentral.
UAGAGUUUGAUCCUGGCUCAGGAUGAACGCUAGCUACAGGCUUAACACAUGCAAGUCGAGGGGCAGCAUGGCCCCAGCUUGCUAAGGCCGAUGGCGACCGGCGCACGGGUGAGUAACACGUAUCCAACCUGCCGUCUACUCUUGGACAGCCUUCUGAAAGGAAGAUUAAUACAAGAUGGCAUCAUGAGUCCGCAUGUUCACAUGAUUAAAGGUAUUCCGGUAGACGAUGGGGAUGCGUUCCAUUAGAUAGUAGGCGGGGUAACGGCCCACCUAGUCUUCGAUGGAUAGGGGUUCUGAGAGGAAGGUCCCCCACAUUGGAACUGAGACACGGUCCAAACUCCUACGGGAGGCAGCAGUGAGGAAUAUUGGUCAAUGGGCGAGAGCCUGAACCAGCCAAGUAGCGUGAAGGAUGACUGCCCUAUGGGUUGUAAACUUCUUUUAUAAAGGAAUAAAGUCGGGUAUGGAUACCCGUUUGCAUGUACUUUAUGAAUAAGGAUCGGCUAACUCCGUGCCAGCAGCCGCGGUAAUACGGAGGAUCCGAGCGUUAUCCGGAUUUAUUGGGUUUAAAGGGAGCGUAGAUGGAUGUUUAAGUCAGUUGUGAAAGUUUGCGGCUCAACCGUAAAAUUGCAGUUGAUACUGGAUAUCUUGAGUGCAGUUGAGGCAGGCGGAAUUCGUGGUGUAGCGGUGAAAUGCUUAGAUAUCACGAAGAACUCCAAUUGCGAAGGCAGCCUGCUAAGCUGCAACUGACAUUGAGGCUCGAAAGUGUGGGUAUCAAACAGGAUUAGAUACCCUGGUAGUCCACACGGUAAACGAUGAAUACUCGCUGUUUGCGAUAUACUGCAAGCGGCCAAGCGAAAGCGUUAAGUAUUCCACCUGGGGAGUACGCCGGCAACGGUGAAACUCAAAGGAAUUGACGGGGGCCCGCACAAGCGGAGGAACAUGUGGUUUAAUUCGAUGAUACGCGAGGAACCUUACCCGGGCUUAAAUUGCAGAUGAAUUACGGUGAAAGCCGUAAGCCGCAAGGCAUCUGUGAAGGUGCUGCAUGGUUGUCGUCAGCUCGUGCCGUGAGGUGUCGGCUUAAGUGCCAUAACGAGCGCAACCCUUGUUGUCAGUUACUAACAGGUUCUGCUGAGGACUCUGACAAGACUGCCAUCGUAAGAUGUGAGGAAGGUGGGGAUGACGUCAAAUCAGCACGGCCCUUACGUCCGGGGCUACACACGUGUUACAAUGGGGGGUACAGAGGGCCGCUACCACGCGAGUGGAUGCCAAUCCCAAAAACCUCUCUCAGUUCGGACUGGAGUCUGCAACCCGACUCCACGAAGCUGGAUUCGCUAGUAAUCGCGCAUCAGCCACGGCGCGGUGAAUACGUUCCCGGGCCUUGUACACACCGCCCGUCAAGCCAUGGGAGCCGGGGGUACCUGAAGUGCGUAACCGCGAGGGGCGCCCUAGGGUAAAACUGGUGACUGGGGCUAAGUCGUAACAAGGUAGCCG